GCAGCCUGAUGCAGCGACGCCGCGUGAGGGAUGACGGCCUUCGGGUUGUAAACCUCUUUCAGCAGGGACGAAGCGCAAGUGACGGUACCUGUAGAAGAAGCACCGGCCAACUACGUGCCAGCAGCCGCGGUAAUACGUAGGGUGCGAGCGUUGUCCGGAAUUACUGGGCGUAAAGAGCUCGUAGGUGGUUUGUCGCGUUGUUCGUGAAAACUCACAGCUCAACUGUGGGCGUGCGGGCGAUACGGGCAGACUUGAGUACUGCAGGGGAGACUGGAAUUCCUGGUGUAGCGGUGGAAUGCGCAGAUAUCAGGAGGAACACCGGUGGCGAAGGCGGGUCUCUGGGCAGUAACUGACGCUGAGGAGCGAAAGCGUGGGGAGCGAACAGGAUUAGAUACCCUGGUAGUCCACGCCGUAAACGGUGGGUACUAGGUGUGGGUUUCCUUCCUUGGGAUCCGUGCCGUAGCUAACGCAUUAAGUACCCCGCCUGGGGAGUACGGCCGCAAGGCUAAAACUCAAAGAAAUUGACGGGGGCCCGCACAAGCGGCGGAGCAUGUGGAUUAAUUCGAUGCAACGCGAAGAACCUUACCUGGGUUUGACAUGCACAGGACGCCGGCAGAGAUGUCGGUUCCCUUGUGGCCUG
This 640-nucleotide ribosomal RNA is filed under the name Mycobacterium sp. Se3Ps_2528. Its description in RNAcentral is "bacterial SSU rRNA". It matches the Rfam family "Bacterial small subunit ribosomal RNA", at positions 378 to 1030 of the family's 1533-position model. Lineage: Bacteria; Bacillati; Actinomycetota; Actinomycetes; Mycobacteriales; Mycobacteriaceae. The record is from RNAcentral.